CUCGCAUGGGGACCUGCUUAGGUCUCUUUCCUAAGGCUGUGUUUAACCUGUCUGUAGCCUCAGGCUACUUCCAUGUUCAGCAGGAGGAAAUGAGAAGAAGGGGUCUCUGAUGUUGUACCAUCACCUUUGUGCUGGCAUCAGUUUUGCAGAGCACCUGAGGCUGGGUGCCUUGGGCGGCUUCUGCAGACAGAGUUUCUUGAAUGUGUCUCACGUUGCACCCUGGCUGGGUCACCCAAUAUGCUCAUGCUCCUCAGAGAGGCUGUCUGAAGAGAGGGAUGUGGAAAUACAAGUGAAUGAAACAAAGAAAGAGCAGCAGGAAGACAGAAGAGCAUGGAAGUUGUGAUAAGAUCUUCAAUUUGCAGAGGGCUCAUGCAUACUCCUUUGUAUAUUUUAUUGGAAAGUUGAGUAGCUUGGAGUUUCCAGAAAGAGUCAGCAGUCAGCACAGCUGCGGGCGGAUAACUCUUCUUGCCACAUUGCGUGAGAGAACAGGCACACACCAGAAAGCACGGCUCCUCCCGUCCCUCUGGACCACUCCUGGUGAUUUUGCGGGAAGGCUUCUUCCACUCGUCUCUGUUUCCUCCAAAAGAAAAUUCUGCUCAGAUUGGGCUCAGUUAUUGAUCUCAUUGCAUUCCCACGCAGGCCAAUGGGAGUUUUUCUGUCUUUGGCGGUGAGAGCAAGAUUAGGUCCGCAGUAAUUGGAUGAAUUUCCACUGCUUGGCUAGAAAUUGGCAAGAUGCUGAAUAUACCUGUCCCUCUGUCCACUGACGGCUGGUAUAAGGUUACUGGGUUGGUAGCUACAUCAAAACCCCCUGUAUUCAGAGAGGUAAAAUGAGUUGAAUAAAGUAAAUAAAUGGGAGGGUCAAGGGCAGACACUCUGCAGUUGAUGCAGGCAUGGCUGGUGAUAUCCGCAUGGGAU
Non-coding RNA from Phalacrocorax carbo (great cormorant), 915 nucleotides. The record is from RefSeq and is a predicted model, not a curated record. NCBI's taxonomy places the organism in Eukaryota, Metazoa, Chordata, Aves, Suliformes, Phalacrocoracidae.